AUUGAAUGCUGGCGGAAUGCUUUACACAUGCAAGUCGAACGGUAGAGGGGGCAACCCCUCGAGAGUGGCGAACGGGUGAGUAAUAUAUCGGAACGUGCCCAGUCGUGGGGGAUAACGUAGCGAAAGUUACGCUAAUACCGCAUACGAUCUACGGAUGAAAGCGGGGGAUCGCAAGACCUCGCGCGAUUGGAGCGGCCGAUAUCAGAUUAGGUAGUUGGUGGGGUAAAGGCUCACCAAGCCAACGAUCUGUAGAUGGUCUGAGAGGACGACCAGCCACACUGGAACGGAGACACGGUCCAGACUCCUACGGGAGGCAGCAGUGGGGAAUUUUGGACAAUGGACGCAAGUCUGAUCCAGCCAUUCCGCGUGCAGGAUGAAGGCCCUCGGGUUGUAAACUGCUUUUGUACGGAACGAAAAGGUUUCCAUUAAUACUGGGAGCUCAUGACGGUACCGUAAGAAUAAGCACCGGCUAACUACGUGCCAGCCGCCGCCGUAA
This 496-nucleotide ribosomal RNA is filed under the name uncultured bacterium. RNAcentral's name for it is "partial 16S ribosomal RNA". It matches the Rfam family "Bacterial small subunit ribosomal RNA", at positions 30 to 523 of the family's 1533-position model. The record is from RNAcentral.